GCGUGUGCGAAGAAGGCCUUCGGGUUGUAAAGCACUUUUGUCAGGAACGAAACGGCUCGUAUUAAUACCAUGGGCUAAUGACGGUACCUGAAGAAUAAGCACCGGCUAACUACGUGCCAGCAGCCGCGGUAAGACGUAGGGUGCAAGCGUUAAUCGGAAUUACUGGGCGUAAAGCGUGCGCAGGCGGUUUUGUAAGACAGAUGUGAAAUCCCCGGGCUCAACCUGGGAACUGCAUUUGUGACUGCAAGGCUAGAGUGCGUCAGAGGGAGGUGGAAUUCCGCGUGUAGCAGUGAAAUGCGU
Molecule: ribosomal RNA, 300 nt
Filed under: uncultured bacterium
Lineage: Bacteria
Description: bacterial SSU rRNA
Rfam family: Bacterial small subunit ribosomal RNA
Source: RNAcentral